Molecule: long non-coding RNA, 6940 nt
Filed under: Homo sapiens (human)
Lineage: Eukaryota; Metazoa; Chordata; Mammalia; Primates; Hominidae
Description: non-protein coding KTN1-AS1:17
Source: RNAcentral
CUCCGCGCGCCUGCCCACGCGCUCCGGUACUCGCUGCUCGCGGCUGGCCGGCUCGGGAUUCCGGGCUUUCUUCCCGAGACCGCGUCCCCCAGCUGGGCCGAAGGUGGACGCUCAGGGGCUGGAGGCUCAGCGGAAUCCCCUGCGUUCAGUAGCCCCGCUCUCCCCUGUCCCGAAGGAUUACUCUGCCCCUCAGCGGUUCCAGUGCCCUCAAAGCAAUCUGUCUCUGAAGUACUGGCUAUCUUCUGAGCGUGUGCCAGAAGAUCCAGCUUUGUUGAAAAGCGAAGCCGUUAGUCCCUUAAUACAAAGGAGACAAAUUGAUUUAUGCCUGGGGCACCAUCACCAAAAGAAGAGGAAAUGGAUGCAAGCCUUCCCAGAACAACAGAAAGAGUCUCGCUCUGUUGCCAGGCUGAAGUGCUAUGGUGUGAUCUCAGCUCACUGCAACCUCCGCUUUCUGGGUUCAAGCAAUUCUCAUGCCUCAGCCUCCCGAGUAGCUGGGAUUACAGGCACAUGCCACCACGCCCAGCUAAUUUUUGUAAUCUUAGUAGAGAUGGAGUUUCACCAUGUUAGCCAGGCUGGUCUUGAACUCCUGACCUCAAGUAAUCCGCCAGCCUCAGCCUCCCAAAGUGCUGGGAUUACAGGUGUGAGCCACUGUGCUCAGCCAAAAAACUUGCAUUUUAAAGAAAGUUUUCCAGAACUGGGCUUGUUCCAUUCAAUAAGUAGAUUGAGUUACAACUAUGCACUUAGCUUCAUGUGACACUGAAGGGAAUAUGAAGAAGAAAGAAGACAAAUUCUGCUUAUACUCUGAUAGGACGACCUCUGCUAUUUUCCUUCUGAAGCUUUGCAGAGAGCAGUGAAUUGUAAUGAAAGGAGAUUUGGGAGUAAAGACUCCGUGAGGUAUUGAAGUCUCUAGGGGAACCUCAUUAUAGCAUUCCUCUUCCCAGCCUGGAUUCUGAACAAUUUGAGAAAUAAAAAGCAAAUGUGAAGCACACUGAGGCCAAAGUAUCACCUUUAGAACCAGUAAAGAUGAAUUGGAAUUCCAGGCAUGGCAGGCCAAGGCAGACAUCAUCCUUAGAGGCAGAGUCCCUGGAGGGGAAGAGGAAGGAGAUAAAGCUGAAGCAAGCAAGCCAGGGCAAGUCACUUUGACACCCCAGGGACAGAAAGGGACCAGGAGUAUGGUCAGCUGCAACUAGGAACUGGGGAAAGAUGUUCCCGCAUCACUGGUUUUUUCCGCUCCUCAGAUGCGUGACGUUGGAUGAGUCCAUUAAUCCCUCUAUCCAUUAUCAUCUUUUCUAAACCAAAGGAUUUUACUAGAUCAUCUCUGAAAUUUCUUCCAGGUCUACAGUGGUAUGAUUAUAUAAAUUACUAGACCCAUAGUAAAUCAUCUAAGAGCUCAUAUGACCUUAUUUAGAAAGGAAAUUACAAAUCUUUUACACUUGGAUCUGGAAUUGCUUUUGUAAAUGUGAAGCUACUAUGAGUUGAAUUACACUUUUGUUUCAGAGAUUGACUUUAUGAAGAUCCUUAGGAAGUUUUAAAGUUGAAUAAGAUUCUUCUUCUUACCUUUAAUCAUCACUUUUACAUCUCAUUUGUGGAGAAUCAAAAGUCACUGGAAUCAAAAGUCACUGACCCACAAAGUGUCUUCCUCUUGCAAGAUGGGCAAAUGGAUCCACAACAACAUAAAACCCAGCAUCACACUGACGGUUACAGAUCUGUUUCUGCCGGGUUGAGUCUCCUGGCCACCAGAAUCCCAGAGCUCUCACCCAGGCUGAGAUGCAAAAGCCACAAGCACAGUGGGGAGAGAGGAAAAUAAGAGAAGGAGCCCAUGACUUUGAGAUGUGAAAUAAAGGAGAACCAACAAUACUCUGUGCCUACUCAUGAGCACCUCGGUGUACUCCAGAACUUUCAUUUCAAAAAGUUAAAUAGGAACCUUUGUCCAGAGAUUGGCUCAGAUGUUCUCAUUAGAUCUUAGCUUGAAGCCUCUUCUGCCAGUUCCUCCCUGUUUUUAUAGUAAGUCUCAUAAGGCAUGGUCCUGGACCCACAGCCCUGUAUCAUAUGGAAAAAUGAUGCAGGCCGGGCAUGGUGGCUCAUGCCUGUAAUCCCAGCACUUUGGGAAGCCAAGGCGGGUGGAUCAUUUGAGGUCAGGAGUUCAAGACCAGCCUGGCCAACAUGAUGAAACCCCAUCUCUACUAAAAAAAAAUACAAAAAUUAGCCAGGCGUGGUGGCGAACGCCUGUAGUCCCAGCUACUCAGGAGGCUGAGGCAGAAGAAUUGCUUGAACCUGGGAGGCAGAGGUUGCAGUGAGCCGAGAUCAUGCCACUACACUCUAGCCUGGGCGACAGAGCGAGACUCUGUCUCAAAAAUAAAUAAAUAAAAUAAUUAAUUAAAAAUGAUGCGGAACAACAAUGAGUUAUGUUCAACUCAUUGAAAAGUUGUGUUGCCAAGAGUGUGAGUAUGGUUGGAAAGAUUAAUGAAAGGUUUGUGUUUCGGUUUGUGGCUUUGGUCACUGCUUGCCUCUCUGCCUCUUAAGCUGCCCAUUCGAUUCAAAUUAAGCAGUGUUUCUCAGACUGUGCCUGCCAGCAUGCUGUACAUGCAGCUGCUGCCUUCCAUCCAUCACAGCCUAACUUACCCCCGCUCCAAGUUCCAGGUCAGCCUUUCCUGAUUGCAUUCCUUGUCCCUGUCAUGCUUCAAGCUGCCCUCCUUCUGGCUAUUCAUCACCCAGCAAUUGUUGCUGUUAGCUGUCUUUCUCACAUGACCAGUCCUGCAAAGUGUGCCAGACAGGAAUGCCAGUGGGCUGGCUGCAUGCCAGGAUGUUGCCUGGAAUUUGUUAGUGCUCUUAAGCACCAUGGAUAAAUGCCGCUGGUGAAACCUUGUGUGAAGUCAACUUGCAAUAUCUAAGGACAUCUAAGGCCCAGCUCUUUGUCUACGAAGUUAGAAAUCAUCCUUGAGUCUAUGUCUGAGCUGCCAUAUGAACUAGUGCUUAAAUAUAAUACAGGCUCUUGAGUCAGACUACAGGGGCCUUCCAGCAACCUGAGAAGUUACUUUAGCUCUGCUCUGUUUCAUACCUCCAAGAGUCAUUUUGGGGACUGCAUGAGUUAAUGUAUGUAAAGCAUGUAGAACAAUGCCUGUCACAUUAAAAGCCCUAUGAGUGUUUGCUAUUGCUAUUUUUCCACUCACUGCUUAUUGUGCUUAGAUUGACCACUUCAGAUCAUUUAUUUAUUCCUUUAAUCAAUACUUACUGAGUGCCUAUGAUAUUCUGGGCAUUAUGUACAGUGAUCCAUUUGCUUUACGGUAAGCUUUGGCAUGGUCAUCUGGAAAUCCUUUUGCACUCUUGGUUGUACUUAUUAUGGAGGCAGUAAGACCCCAGAGAAGAAACCACUGACCAGUGCUGAUCCUUAGGCAGCCUGUCUUGAGGCUCCCAUGCUCCCAGAACAGCACAGAAAGAACAGAGGCAGACAGGGGUCAGUGAAAGAGACAGUGUGAAUUCAAGCAGAUGUUGGCCCCUUCCCCUAAUCCUCUUCUAUCUGGAACUUUGAGGUAUUUCCACGCAAGGGGGAGGUUGAAGGGAGAAUAGGGACAGAAGAAGGUGGAGGUAUGGAGAAAUCUUGCAAAUGACUAAGCUUAACUUUAUGCCAAUAUGGUAAGAUAAAAGUUCAAAAUGGAAUUAAAUUGAUUUAGAGAAAAUCACUAGGGUAAAGCAUAUAAAAUUGCUGAUAUCUGACAAUUUUUGACAUGCAAAAACAUCAAAUUGAUGUUGUUCAACCUAUAAAAGGUGCAAUAUUUCAUGUACCUCCCAAGUUCGCAGAAAACAUUCAUAGUUGCCACACCUGCUUUAAAUUUUUCACUGUCUUAGAAAAGCUCAAAUAUAAGAAAUCUUCAUCAAGACUUUCUCUCCUUAAAUUGAAAACUAAAGACAAAUUUGGGAACAUGGCUACCUGUGUUAGAAAUUUGAUGAAUGAUAGCUCUGAAGCCUAGAUAACAACUGACAUGUGGAAGUCUUACUUAUUCACCCUAUAAACCAACAUCAACUGAUUAGAUUUCCUUUCUUUAGUCCAAUUUCUAACUGAAUCCCAGUAAUACUCCGUCACAAAAUAGGUUUAUUAAAAAGCUCAGCAAUAUUAGAGCUUUCCAGAAAUUUUCAAGGAUCAAAGUAAAUGGUAGGCUGCAUUCCUGCCAAUUUCUUCAUCCUCACUAAAUGUUUAGGUAUAGUCUCAUCUGGUUGGCUACAGAGAACAGUUACUUUUUUUUUUUCUUGAAACAGUCUCGCUCUGUCACCCAGGCUGGAGUGCAGUGGUGCAAUCUUGGCUCACUGUAAGCUCCCCUUCCCGGGUUCACGCCAUUCUCUUGCCUCAGCCUCCCCAGUAGCUGGGACUACAGGUGCCCACCACCACGCCCAGCUAAUUUUGUUUUUGUAUUUUUAGCAGAGACGGGGUUUCACCGUGUUAGCCAGGAUGGUCUUGAUCUCCUGACCUCGUGAUCUGCCCGCCUCAGCCUCCCAAAGUGCUGGGAUUACAGACAUGAGCCACUGCCCCCAGCCCAGGCACAUUUUUUAAGGGUGACUCUCUGUAUCACCAAGACUAUAGACAGUCCAUCUAAAAUGAAUGCCAAUGCAUGUGUUACACAUCUUAAAAACAAGUGUACCCAAUGUUCAAGCAAAUUCUCCAUCUAGAAAUUUACUUGAAGAAGAUAAUUAAAGACAUACAUAAACAUUUAGGUGCAAUGGUUGUAUCAGUCAGAAAAUAACUAGCACAUUCAAACCAAGAUAAUUAGAGUGGUGUUCAUUCAUAAAGAUGUGGAGGAGUUGUAGAAAAACUGCAAGGGAUAGUGCAGGUGCCCAGGGCUAGCAGCAGCAGCAAAGCUAUUGCCACCCUUAGGCCCAAAAGAAAGGGAUGGGUUCUGAGAACUGGGAAGGAAGUAUUGUAUGGAGGUGGCCACCUUGAGAAGAGUGCUCUUCAGUCGAGGAGUACAGCCAGCUCUAGGAGCCCUCAUAAGGAAAGAACCAGGGGACUGACACUCUGAUCUCGCCCUCCUCCCUCCAAUCUCCUGCUGGGGAGAGGUAUUGCCUGAAGCUGACCGGAAGUCAGAGGGCAAAGGAACCAGUUAAUGUAAUCCCUGAAGAAGAGUAGAGCCGAGAGAAAGAAGGAAAAGGGUAGAAAGUGGAUAUGGAGGAAUGAACAAGAGAGAUCUGGCAUAAAGAUGUUCAUGGAGCACUGUUUAUAAUAACAUAACAUUGGAAAUAAUCCCAAACUAGAAGGAAAUAUAAACAAUUUAAGGUAUAUAUACCAAGUGAAGUGCUAUGCAACCAUUCCAAAUAUUGAUGCAGAAAAGCUCACAAAACUGUAUAAUGUGAUUUACCUUUUCUUAAAAUAGUAUGUAUGUAUAUAGAUAUGUGUUUUUCUAUGUAUUUACAUACAUACACAAUAAAUGCACACACAUUCAUAAGAAAAAAAGACUUAAAGUACGGCCAGGCACGGUGGCUCAUGCCUGUAAUCCCAGAACUUUGGGAGGCCAAGGUGGGCUGAGGUCAGGAGUUUGAGACCAGCCUGACCAACAUGGAGAAACUCCAACUCUACUAAAAAUACAAAAAAUGAGCCAGGCAUGGUGGCGCACAUCCAAAAUCUCAGCUACCGGGGAGGCUGAGGCAGGAGAAUCACUUGAACCUAGGAGGCGGAAGUUGCAGUGAGCUGAGAUGGCGCCACUACAUUCCAGCCUGGGUGACAGAGCAAGACCCUGUCUCAAAAAAAAAAAAAAAAGACUUAAAGCAUAUAAACCAAGAUGUAAAUAGUGGUUAUCACAAGGAGAGUAGGAUUAUAGGUAAUUUUAUCUAUAUAUUUUUUUCUUUUUGAGCAGGAAAAGUUUAAUGUAAAGAAUUAUUGACUGUAACAGGGCAACAGAGAAACAAGGAGUUGGCUAGUUAAAAGUAAACAGAAUGCCAAAGAAUCUGAGAAUGGCAGGUAUGAGCAGCCACAACCCCUACGUCUGAGAUCAAUUACCCAGGAAGAAGCCCUCUCAGAGCUCAGAUCUAGAUGUUGGAGAUGGUACAGCUGUGGUUUAGUAGCUGGCAGGGAAGUUACCAUGCUACUGUGCUGCUGUGCUGCUGUGAUGUUAAAACUUGCUUAAAAUCUGUUCUCUAGGAUGCUAGGGAACACUGUUCACUGGCAGGUGACUCACCAGAGACAUCCUGCUACAAAACCAACUGACAGGUCAGGGUGUUUGAGAAAUGUCUGGCCAUAGGAGCCUUGCCAAGAUGGCACACUGGAACCAGGGAGGAAAACCCAGUCCUUCUGCAAGGUAACUCUGGCUCCCAACUCCAGCUCCCCGUACUGACAAAUCUUAACAUAUGUGCCAGCUGGCAAAGGGAAAAUGUAGAAAGAGAUCAGCUCCAUUUUUGGAGAGCAAGUAAUGAAGGAUGAAUUGGGAGCUGAGAGGCAAUACAUUGAUAACUGGCACACGCUCCAAAUCUUACCACCUAGAGAUACUACUUAUGAACACACACAGUUAUCAAUAUGGUUUUUAACCUGUUAUUUUCCUGCAAUAGCGUGGUGUGGACAGCUUUAUAUGCCAAUAAAUAUGAUCCGCUUCAACAUUUUUCUUUGUCGAGUAGUAUAUAUUCACUUUGUUUUAUAUAGCUGAUUCCCUACUGGUUAAUAUUUAAAUUGACUCCUGUUUUUACUAUUAUAAAUAAUGCUGUACUCAACAUCUUUAAAUGCUUAUUUUAUCAUACUAAAUUAUUAGAAGUUGAAUUGUUGGAACAACUGUUCUAUGUUAAGUUGAUAAGAGUAAAUGCUGGGUGCAUUAUUUAUUUGUUUUAGCAAGAAAGAUAUUUUUUCAUUUUCUGCAUUCCUCAAUAAAGCAUGAAGAUGCUACCUUAGACAUCUGAUAUGGUAUCCAAGUCAAAUAAGGUCAGGUACCAGUGUGGUUCCAAGAAUUUCUCUGAGAGCCAUGUA